This 497-nucleotide ribosomal RNA is filed under the name uncultured bacterium. RNAcentral's name for it is "partial 16S ribosomal RNA". It matches the Rfam family "Bacterial small subunit ribosomal RNA", at positions 28 to 507 of the family's 1533-position model. The record is from RNAcentral.
GACGAACGCUGGCGGCGUGCCUAAUACAUGCAAGUUGAGCGCUGAAGGUUGGUACUUGUACCAACUGGAUGAGCAGCGAACGGGUGAGUAACGCGUGGGGAAUCUGCCUUUGAGCGGGGGACAACAUUUGGAAACGAAUGCUAAUACCGCAUAAAAACUUUAAACACAAGUUUUAAGUUUGAAAGAUGCAAUUGCAUCACUCAAAGAUGAUCCCGCGUUGUAUUAGCUAGUUGGUGAGGUAAAGGCUCACCAAGGCGAUGAUACAUAGCCGACCUGAGAGGGUGAUCGGCCACAUUGGGACUGGGACACGGCCCAAACUCCUACGGGAGGCAGCAGUAGGGAAUCUUCGGCAAUGGACGAAAGUCUGACCGAGCAACGCCGCGUGAGUGAAGAAGGGUUUCGGAUCGUAAAACUCUGUUGGUAGAGAAGAACGUUGGUGAGAGCGGAAAGCUCAUCAAGUGACGGUAACUACCCAGAAAGGGACGGCUAACUACGUG